RNAcentral lists this ribosomal RNA (443 nucleotides) under uncultured bacterium. RNAcentral describes it as "partial 16S ribosomal RNA". It matches the Rfam family "Bacterial small subunit ribosomal RNA", at positions 338 to 795 of the family's 1533-position model. The record is from RNAcentral.
CCUACGGGAGGCAGCAGUGGGGAAUAUUGGGCAAUGGCGGAAACUCUGACCCAGCAACGCCGCGUGAAUGAUGAUGGUCUUCGGAUGGUAAAGUUCUUUUCUAAGGGAAGAAUAAAGUUACGGUACCUUAGGAAUAAGCCUCGGCUAACUACAUGCCAGCAGCCGCGGUAAUACGUAGGAGGCAAGCGUUAUCCGGAAUGACUGGGCGGAAGGGGUGCGUAGGUGGUGUGACAAGUUGGUAGCGUAACUCCGGGGCUCAACCGGGGCACUACUACCAAUACUGUCGGACUUGAGUGCAGGAGGGGCAAAUGGAAUUCCUAGUGUAGCGGUGGAAUGCGUAGAUAUUAGGAGGAACACCAGUGGCGAAGGCGAUUUGCUGGACUGUAACUGACACUGAGGCACGAAAGCGUGGGGAGCAAACAGGAUUAGAUACCCUUGUAGUC